RNAcentral lists this long non-coding RNA (1197 nucleotides) under Cyanistes caeruleus (blue tit). RNAcentral's name for it is "lncRNA (ENSCCEG00000013039.1)". Lineage: Eukaryota; Metazoa; Chordata; Aves; Passeriformes; Paridae. The record is from RNAcentral.
AUGCCCCACCUGACCACGCUCACAUCGUCCCCACCCCUCACCCCACACACAGGGACAUCACCCCCAGGGAAAGUGGCAGCUCUGCCUUCUGCAGGUGCCUCAUCCCUGCCCGGAGCCUCGCUCUCCGAGGGGCACAGGGAGAUGGUGGCCGGGCUGUGGCUGGCACCAUGUGGCACCUGGCCAGUGCUGAGCAGCAGAAGGCAGGGCUCCUCCAGGGCUCUCCAGGGAAGCAACAGGGAGCCUUGGUCCUGUGUGAGUGGCCACAGGGCUGGCUGUCCCUCGGGGUGCUCAGGGUGCCUGGGUGAAGGUCCUGAGCACCGUGGCUGGGUGCUGGGUGCUGCAGCCCAGCUUGUGCAGAGUAGGACAAGGCUGGAGGGCUGUGGGAAGGCACGGCAAGGUUUGGAACGAGGGGUUUUUGGGGAUCUUGCAGGAUUUGGGACGUUCCUGUCCUGCUCCUGGCUGCUGUGGGGCAAAAAGGUGAUCUCUUGGAGCCCAAGGACAGGAGGGCUCUGCUUCCAGAGGGAGCCUGAAUGUGCUUCCAGAGGGAAUCCAGCUCUGCUGUCAGAGCAGGGAUCAACAAGCAGGAUGUCCUGGCUGGGGGAUGGAGCCUGUCCCAGCUGGGAGAGCCCUGUCCUGGGUGCAGGUGUGUGUGAGUGCUUGCAUGGAGCACCGUGUGUGUGUGCAGGAGUGUGGGCACACGUCUGUGGGUGUCAGCAAGCCUCUGUGUGUGUGUGUGUGUGUGUGUUACACUUGUGUCUGUGCCCGUGCUCCUGUGUCCUGCUCUCCUCCCCUCUGGGCAGGGAGGGUGAGAUUAACCUCCAGAUCCUUCCUACCAGCAUGUGCUCCCGCUCUCUCCCUUGGAAAUGCCGUUUUUUAGAUGAGAAAAUAUGGAAGCGCCUUCAGUCCCUGCUCAGUGACCUUCAAAACCAUCCAGCAAAUUGGGCUUGGACGGCGAGCCCGGCCAGAUGGCCCUUCUCAAACACGCUGGCCGUGCAAACGGGGUUUUACUCCUGGAUCCUGCUCCAAGGCAGCCUCGUGAAACGGCGCGUUCAGUCUGUGCUCUGGGAAGGCAGCCACACCGCCCCGUGCCGAAGAGGAGGCGCUGGGGCCGUGCCAGGCCGGGCUGGGCAGGGACAGCGCUGGCAGCCCGGAGCCUUCGGGUGUUUUCAGUUCACUCAGGCAGAUGAGCCUAACUAG